CUACGGGGCGCAGCAGUGGGGAAUAUUGCACAAUGGGCGCAAGCCUGAUGCAGCCAUGCCGCGUGUAUGAAGAAGGCCUUCGGGUUGUAAAGUACUUUCAGCGGGGAGGAAGGGAGUAAAGUUAAUACCUUUGCUCAUUGACGUUACCCGCAGAAGAAGCACCGGCUAACUCCGUGCCAGCAGCCGCGGUAAUACGGAGGGUGCAAGCGUUAAUCGGAAUUACUGGGCGUACAGCGCACGCAGGCGGUUUGUUAAGUCAGAUGUGAAAUCCCCGGGCUCAACCUGGGAACUGCAUCUGAUACUGGCAAGCUUGGGUCUCGUAGAGGGGGGUAGAAUUCCAGGUGUAGCGGUGAAAUGCGUAGAGAUCUGGAGGAAUACCGGUGGCGAAGGCGGCCCCCUGGACGAAGACUGACGCUCAGGUGCGAAAGCGUGGGGAGCAAACAGGAUUAGAUACCCGGGUAGUC
Molecule: ribosomal RNA, 464 nt
Filed under: uncultured bacterium
Lineage: Bacteria
Description: partial 16S ribosomal RNA
Rfam family: Bacterial small subunit ribosomal RNA
Source: RNAcentral